RNAcentral lists this ribosomal RNA (537 nucleotides) under uncultured Acidobacteriota bacterium. RNAcentral describes it as "bacterial SSU rRNA". It matches the Rfam family "Bacterial small subunit ribosomal RNA", at positions 13 to 529 of the family's 1533-position model. Lineage: Bacteria; Pseudomonadati; Acidobacteriota. The record is from RNAcentral.
UUGAUCCUGGCUCAGAAUCAACGCUGGCGGCGUGCCUAACACAUGCAAGUCGAACGCGAAAGCCCCGCAAGGGGUAAGUAGAGUGGCGAACGGGUGAGUUACACGUGGGUGACCUGCCUUCGAGCGGGGGAUAACGUCCCGAAAGGGACUCUAAUACCGCAUGACAUCCUGCCUUUGAAGAGGUGGAGAUCAAAGCUGGUGAUCGCAAGACCUAGCACUCGAAGAGGGGCCCGCGCCUGAUUAGCUAGUUGGUGGGGUAAUGGCUCACCAAGGCAACGAUCAGUAGCCGGCCUGAGAGGUCGGACGGCCACACUGGGACUGAGACACGGCCCAGACUCCUACGGGAGGCUGCAGUGGGGAAUUGUUCGCAAUGGGCGCAAGCCUGACGACGCAACGCCGUGUGGAGGACGAAGACCUUCGGGUCGUAAACUCCUUUCGAUCGAGACGAAUGGCCUCCGGGUGAACAAUCCGGAGGAAUGACGGUACCGAGAGAAGAAGCUCCGGCUAACUCCGUGCCAGCAACCGCGGUAAUAAGGU